This 760-nucleotide long non-coding RNA is filed under the name Hordeum vulgare. RNAcentral describes it as "long non-coding RNA (HVUL_LNC020311)". The record is from RNAcentral. Lineage: Eukaryota; Viridiplantae; Streptophyta; Magnoliopsida; Poales; Poaceae.
CCGGAAUUGCUAAUGGGCCAGCCCAAACCCAUCGCUGGAUGGCAGCUUCUGUGCGUUUGCCCGUCUAUUUGACGCAAAGAGCGUCAAAUAGGGUUUUCCCAUGUCCCAUGUGGCCGCAUCUUUUUUUUCUCGGUGGUCGAUUGUUCGGCACACAUGCAUGUUGAGCAACUCAGUAGUCUGGGUUUAUGACCUCAUGUGAUUUCUAUGCGUAAAAAACAUCUACACAUGGAUAGUACAGAAAAUAGGAAAUCUCGGGAGUUAGCAGCAAGGAGUGCUCGGCACACCAUCCGAAGAGACAAGAACGCAGGAUAUGUGUACUCUUUCUGAUGGCACUAGGCUGGGUUGUCGAGUGCGGGGGAUGGAAGGAUCAACGAUAUUUGUGCACAUAAGGUCUCAUGGUCUUUUUUGAUGGCGCCCGCCACUCGUAGCUUGUGAACGGCUAGAUGAUAGAUAAGGGCUACACAGCAAUAAGGUAUCACGCAAAAUGCAACGGGGUAACUCGCCUUAUGUGACGAGUUGAUCAUGGCUUCCUAGAGUUGGAUAACCUGCCCUAUAAUGUAGUCGAAUCCAAAUAGAUGGUUUCCUGGUGCCGCACAUUCCCAACUUACAUUAUCCUAAACCAACCUAUGUCGAAGGCCUUUGGUUUCUCUUGCAAUACAACCCAUGAAAAUUGUUGGUCGGUGGUAACUUUCUAACUAAAUGUUUUUUUGAAGGUUAACUUUCUAACAAAAUGUUUGUUUGCACCAUGCUCGCAUCUCUA